UUAUGGCCAUAUCACAUUAAAACACUGGUUCUUGUACGAUCACUCAAGUUAAGAAACAUCCAGCCUAGUCAGUACUUAAAUGGGUGACCACUUGGGAAUACCAGGUGCUGUAA
Acanthosepion pharaonis is the source of this 113-nucleotide non-coding RNA. The record is from the annotation of a GenBank genome assembly. Lineage: Eukaryota; Metazoa; Mollusca; Cephalopoda; Sepiida; Sepiidae.